Molecule: RNA transcript, 2753 nt
Organism: Tripterygium wilfordii
Lineage: Eukaryota; Viridiplantae; Streptophyta; Magnoliopsida; Celastrales; Celastraceae
Gene name: type IV inositol polyphosphate 5-phosphatase 3-like
Exons: 13
Source: RefSeq, a predicted model, not a curated record
CCACUAAUUGUAAUAAUAAUAAUAAUUAAAUUAGCAGUGGUUGUUGAUGUUGAAUUUUGAUCGUUCUUCGGUUAUUACCCGCACAAUGCAGAGAAGCGGCUUCGAUUCGUUGUUGUUGUUCGUUUAUUGUGUGAUUAGCUAGAUGGUAUUUGCUUAUACCAGGUCUACAGAGCAAAUGGAGUCUCGCAAAAAGCCGCGGCAAUCGGAGAGCGAUUGCGCUGAAAACUGUUGUUUGGCUUGGUGGUACCUACAGCUUCCAUGGGCUCGCGUGGUCAUGCGCAAAUGGCUCAACAUCAGCGCCAAAGAUUCUGAUUACAGCGCCGACCCUGACGAUCCAUAUUCUGACUCUGAAGAUGACCAAGUGACUGAUGAAUGGGAGCAGAAUUUGCGGACUGCUCGGAGUGAUUUUAAUGAUGGUCUUGCAAAGUUAAGAAGACGGACUUCCGAAACUUUUAGGGCACAGUAUAUCAAUACAAAGGAACUCAGAAUUCGUGUUGGCACAUGGAAUGUCGGAGGACAAGUUCCACCUGACGACCUAGACAUUGAUGAUUGGAUCAACAUCAACGAACCCGCUGACAUUUAUGUGCUUGGAAUACAGGAAAUUGUACCCCUAAAUGCUGGGAAUAUAUUUGGUCCAGAAGAUAACCGUCCAGUUGCAAAAUGGGAAAACAUCAUUCGUGAAACAUUAAAUCGGAUUCGACCUUCAACAAUGAAGAUCAAAAGUUUUAGUGAUCCUCCAUCCCCAUCAAAGUUCAAGCCAUCUGAAGAUAUCCCUGAUAUAGAAGAACAAUUAUUUCUUGAGAGUGAUAGUGAUAUUGGUGAGGAAAUUUAUCCGUUAGAUGAUAACUCCAACAGUUAUAGUGAAGUCAAGGCUGGUCCAAUCAAUGAAGAAAACAACUUCAAGAGUUCUGAACUAGACUGCAUUGAGAGUGAGAAGUUAGAUAUGCCAGUAGAACAGGAUUUGCAGAGGAAAUUUUCUUCUCCAAAGAAACUAGAUAGAUUGAAUUGCCUCCGAACAGAAGAUUGUACAGAUAACGUAGAAGAGCCAGCUGCCCAAAAAUUUGGAAAAUUAACUAAACUGUUAAGCAACUCUGAAAAGAUUGGUUUGAGCUGGCCGGAGCCUCCCCGAGACUUGUUAUCUCAGCAUGUUUUGGAGAGGACAAGUACCUUCAAUUCUGUUAAAUCUUUCAAUGCAUCCAACACUUUCAAAAAAUAUAGAUCUUUUAAAUCAUUCACCAAUGAGGUGUCUCCUGGAAUAGCUUUACUCGCAGAACUUGACCUUGAAGCUCUCAUGAAUCGGAAAAGAAGGUCUUCAUAUGUAAGGAUAGUUAGUAAGCAGAUGGUUGGGAUUUUUCUCACUGUAUGGGUUCGGAGGAGCUUACGCAGGCAUAUUCAGAACCUAAGAGUGUCUACUGUUGGUGUUGGUGUUAUGGGUUACAUUGGGAACAAGGGAUCAGUGUCUGUCAGCAUGUCCAUAUAUCAGACACUAUUUUGCUUUGUAACUACUCACCUGACAUCAGGUGAAAAAGAUGGAGAUGAACUGAAAAGAAACGCUGAUGUGCAUGAAAUACAUAGAAGAACCCAAUUCCGUCCAGUCUCCAACAUUGGCCUGCCCAAAAGUAUUCAUGAUCACGAAAGGAUAAUCUGGUUGGGUGAUCUGAACUAUCGUAUUAACUUGUCAUAUGUGAGAGCACUUGAACUUAUCUCCGAAAAGGAGUGGUCCAAGUUGGUGGAGAGCGACCAGCUUGUACGAGAGCUGAGAAAAGGUCAUGCAUUUGAUGGAUGGUCUGAGGGUGCUUUAACUUUUCCACCAACAUAUAAGUAUGAGCUAAAUUCUGAGAAGUAUUAUGGGGAGGAUCCAAAGGCUGGGAGGCGUACUCCGGCAUGGUGUGAUCGCAUCCUUUCUUACGGCAAGGGAAUGAAGUUACUGAGUUACAAGAGGACUGAGGUUAAACUUUCUGAUCAUCGACCUGUGUCUGCCACAUAUAUGGCUGAGGUUGAGGUGCUUUCUCCUAGGAGGCUACAGAGGGCACUCACAUUUACAGAUGCUGAAAUUGAAAAUACGGAAAUUAUAGCAGACUCAGAUUAUUGAUUUUUCGAAGUGCUGGUUGAGAAUAGAUCAGGACUCCGGAUGCUUUGAAACCACCGUGGCUUUAUGCAGUUUUGGCGGACUGCAAGGUAAUAGGGCCACAACUGCAUGACUAGUGUCAUAUGUGAUGUUUUAUAUCAGGAAAAUUUUCUCCAUGUAAAGCGCCUUGUUUUGGAGAUCCAGAGAACCACAUGGCCUUUUCUAUCUUAUGAAGGAUAUGUGUUACCGGGAGCAUCAAUGGUGGCCUACUUUCGCAGACUUUGGAAAAUACGGAGCUAGAGCUCCAAGAACUCUCGAUCUCAUUCACCACAAAUUAGAUUCAUUUAUUUGAUUUCUCCAUUCUAUUACAAAUAUUGUACAUUGCAGUCAUUGUGUGAAUUUGUUAGUUAUAUCCAGUGAGAGUUUCACAAUUAGGCUACAGUCUUACAGUUUACAAAAGCAAAGAUGAUUGGUGAUGUGGGGUUUGGCUUGGGUGUGUCAAUGUGUUACAGCAUGUUUGCCUUUUUAGGUUUCGGAUUAAAUACUAGUAGAUGCAUGGGUCUUUGUGAGGACAUGCUACAAUGUUGGAAGUUUUGUCAUCCGUCGAGAACCUUCUCUCUGUAUUUCUUUGUAACAUUGUUUGGUGGAUGUAAUUUCUGUUGCAUAAAUAAAAUUUUCUGCACCA